RNAcentral lists this long non-coding RNA (1498 nucleotides) under Daucus carota (carrot). RNAcentral's name for it is "long non-coding RNA (DCAR_LNC001155)". The record is from RNAcentral. Lineage: Eukaryota; Viridiplantae; Streptophyta; Magnoliopsida; Apiales; Apiaceae.
GUCCAGUUAUAACAUAUCUCUUACUUGGAAAAAUUAUUUUCCAAGGCAAACAAACAAAAAGCUACCCGGGUUCAAUCAUGAUCUAUCUCUUACUUGGAAAAAUUUUCCAAGGCAAAAAGCAAAAGCUACCCCGGUUCAAUUUUGAGAACCCGAGUACCCCGGUUCAAUCAUGAGCUAUCUUACUUGGAAAAAAUUUUCUAAGGCAAACAAACAAAAAGCUACCCCGGUCCAGUUAUGACCUAUCUCUUACUUAGAAAAAUUUUUCGAAAAAUUUUUGAAGGCAAAAAAGCAAAAGCUACCCCGGUCCAGUUAUGACCUAUCUCUUACUUAGAAAAAUUUUUCGAAAAUUUUUUUAAGGCAAACAAACAAAAAGCUACCCCGGUCCAGUUAUGACAUAUCUCUUACUUGGAAUUUUUUUUUUCCAAGGCAAACAAACAAAAAGCUACCCCGGUCCAGUUAUGACAUAUCUCUUACUUGGAAUUUUUUUUUUCCAAGGCAAACAAACAAAAAGCUACCCCGGUCCAGUUAUGACAUAUCUCUUACUUGGAAUUUUUUUUUUCCAAGGCAAACAAACAAAAAGCUACCCGGGUUCAAUCAUGAUCUAUCUCUUACUUGGAAAAAUUUUCCAAGGCAAAAAACAAAAGCUACCCCGGUUCAAUUUUGAGAACCCGAGUACCCCGGUUCAAUCAUGAGCUAUCUUACUUGGAAAAAAUUUUUUCCAAGGCAAACAAACAAAAAGCUACCCGGGUUCAAUCAUGCUCUAUCUCUUACUUGGAAAAAUUAUUUUCCAAGGCAAACAAACAAAAAGCUACCCGGGUUUAAUCAUGACCUAUCUCUUACUUAGAAAAAAUUUUCGAAAAAUUUUUGAAGGCAAAAAAGCAAAAGCUACCCCGGUCCAGUUAUGACCUAUCUCUUACUUAUAAAAAUUUUUCGAAAAUUUUUCUAAGGCAAACAAACAAAAAGCUACCCCAGUCCAGUUAUGACAUAUCUCUUACUUGGAAAAAUUAUUUUCCAAGGCAAACAAACAAAAAGCUACCCGGGUUCAAUCAUGAUCUAUCUCUUACUUGGAAAAAUUUUCCAAGGCAAAAAGCAAAAGCUACCCCGGUUCAAUUUUGAGAACCCGAGUACCCCGGUUCAAUCAUGAGUUAUCUUACUUGGAAAAAUUUUUCUAAGGCAAACAAACAAAAAGCUACCCCGGUCCAGUUAUGACCUAUCUCUUACUUGGAAAAAAUUUCCAAGGCAAAAAACAAAAGCUACCCCGGUUCAAUUUUGAGAACCCGAGUACCCCGGUUCAAUCAUGAGUUAUCUUACUUGGAAAAAUUUUUCUAAGGCAAACAAACAAAAAGCUACCCCGGUCCAAUUAUGACCUAUCUCUUACUUAGAAAAAUUUUCUAAGGUAAAAAAGCAAAAGCUACCCCGGUUCAAUUUUGAGUACCCCGGUUCAAUCAUGAGCUAUCUUACUUGGAAAAAUUUUUCUAAGGCAAAAAAAAUAAAAAAA